UUUUUUUUUUUUUUUUUUUUUUUUUGCUCUUUAGGGCUGCACGUGCAUUCCCAGGCUAGGGGUCAAAUUGGAGCUAGAGCUGCCAAUCUACACCACAGUCACAGCAACAUGGGAUCCAAGCCACAGCUGCGAUGUACACCACAGCUCACCAGAACACCGGAUCCUUAACCCACUGAGCAAGGCCAGGGAUCAAACCUGCAUCCUUAUGGAUACUAGUCGGAUUUGUUUCCACUGCACCACAAAAGGAACUCCCUGACUUCUGCUCAACAAUACCUUUUAAGGUUCUUUCCCUUCAUAUUAGAGAUACAUUUCGUUCUUUUUAGCUGUUGUAGAACAUGUGUAUGAACAUACUAUUUAGCUAUUAUCCUACCAAUAGACACUUAAGUUGCCUCUAAUUGCUUUGUUUUACCAACAAGGUAACACUAAACAUCUCUGUAUAGGCCUCUUCUGUAAAUAUAUACAUGUUUCUGAAGGGCAGAUACACAGAAGUAGAAAUGUAUAGGGUAUAUACAUUUAAAUUUUUAACAGAUAUUGCCAAAAUGCUCUCCAACAUUACUUUCCAAUUUAAACUCAAGCAGCAGUGGAGAAAGUAUCCAUUUCCCUAAAUGCUCACCAAAUCCUGAAUUAACAAGCUUUUCUUUUUUCACAAACCAAUGACUUUUUAAAAUUUGUAUUUCUCUGAUUAAUUUUUGUUAAACCAUACCAAAUGUAAUGGCCAAACUAUUACAUUUACUGGCCUUUUGUAUCUUCUUUUCUGUGGAAUGUGAUUCAUAUUCUUUAUUUUUCUAAUGGCCUUUUCCUAUUUAAAAUUUGGAUUUUGUUUGUUUGUUUGUUUGUUUGUUUGUUUGUUUUUUGGUCUUUUUUUAUGGCUGCACUCCUGGCAUAUGGACGUUCCCAGGCUGUUACUGUUAAGGGCCGAAUCUGAGCUAUAGCUGGUGGCCUACACCACAGCCACAGCAAUGUGGGAUCCGAAAGUCACACCUGUGACCUACACCCUCCUUGUAGCAACACUGGAUCCUUAACCCACUGAGCAAGGCCAGGGAUUGAACCCACGUCCUCAUGGUUACUAGUCAGGUUUGUUACUACUGAGCCACAACGGGAACUCCCUGGAUGAACUUUUUAUAUAUUCUGGACAAAAAGGCAAACAGCAGAGUAGGUUAAGAGUAACAGAGCUAGCCUGCCUAUGGCCCACUAGCUGUCUGAUCUUGGCAAGUUACUUAGUUUAGCUACUCCAUGCCACAGUUUCCUCAUCUGUAAAAAAGUGGAUAACAACUGUACUAAUAGAGUCACCAUGAGGAUUAAGUUAGUUAAUAAACUUGAAGCGCAUUAAAGCAGUGCCUGGAAGAGCACAAGUGUUAUUUAAGUGUUUUCUUUCUGUCUGGAGGAUUUGCUGUAAAUAUUUUUUCUCACUUUAUUAUCUUUUAGCUCAUGUUUAUAAUAACUCUUCACUUACUUUUCCUCAAACAGUUCUUUUUCCAUCUCUAGUCUAAUAACCAAAAUUAUAUAAGUAGAUGAAACCAACAAAAGACUGCCCUCACUGAAUCUCACAACCAACUUCUCCUCAAGAAUAAAUACAGACAUCAGCCAAUCCAUAUAAAUUAAAAAAAAAAAUCUUUCCACUACAAAAAUAGCUAACUUCCCUAUGAAUAAAGCAUUUCCAAAAUCAGUAAGAAGACUGAUAAUCCAGAAGGCAAAAAAAGGCAAAGCAAAUAAACAAAUUCAACAAAAAAUGGAAAUAAAAAUGGUUCUUAAAAAUAUGAAGAGAUCCCUGAGCUCAUUUAGAAGUGCAAAUAAAAGCACACAUCCUACAGAUCAGUAAAGAUCAAGAAGUUUUAAAAUAUACACUGUGUGGGUGUAAAGAAAUAGGCAUUCAUACAUUUCUGGUGGGAGCGUAAAAUGUUAUAGUUUCUAUGAAAAGCAAUUUGGCACUGUCUUUCCAAAAUAAAAAUGCACAUACCAUUCAGUUAAUCAGUUUAACAUCAGGGAAUUUAUCCUAUAGAAACAUGCAUUUGUAUUAAAAAUAACAUACCUGGAAUUCCCCUUGUGGUGCAGCAGAAAUGAAUCUGACUAGUAACCAUAAGGUUGCAGGUUCGAUCCCUGGCCUUGCUCAAUGGGUUAAGUACCCAGUGUUACCAUGAGCUGUGGUGUAGGUCACAGACAUGGCACAGAUCACAUGCUGCUGUGGUGUGGCGUAGGCCAGCAGCUGCAGCUUCAAUUUGACCCCUAGCCUGGGAACCUCCAUACGCCCUCCGAUUCCAACCCCUAGCCUGGGAACCUCCAUAUGCCGCGGGAUAGGCCCAAGAAAUAGCAAAAAGACAAAAAAAAAAAAAGGUAAAAGCAGAGGUUCACCAUCCUAGCUGCCCAUUAUCAACCUCUGUGGAACAUUUUAAACCUACAGAUGUCCAGGUAUCACCCCUGAAAUUCUAUUUAGUAGGUCUGGAGUAGAGCUUGGGUAUCAGAAUUUUUUUAAUUCACAGGUGACACUGAUGGGCGGUCAGGUCUGAAAACAGCUGAGUUAGAGCAUGACACAAAUAGAUAAACAUCUAGGCUCAAUCUCCACCUAGGUUACAACCAUUGCUUCAUCACUAAUCCUUACCACUUCACGAAGCUCUUAAAAAUGAACAGGUGAGAGUGUGUAGAUGGCUCAAUGAAAACCUAUCGCUUCUGGAGUUCCCACUGUGGUGUAUGAGAAUCUGCAGGAUCUGUGACAUCUUGGGAGUGCUAGGAUUCAGGAUCAACCCCCAACCCAGCACAUUGGGUUAAGGAUUCAGCAUUGCUGCAGUUGUGGCUUAGGUCACAACUGUGGACUGGAUCUGAUCCCUGGCCCGAGAACUCCAUAUGCCAUGGGGUGGCCAAAAAAAAGAAAAAUCUAUUACUUUUGGGUAUAUCAUUAGAUAGACAGUGUAAUCUUCACAUAUUCGAUGAAGUACAUUUGCAACAUUCAUACUACUGAGUUCACCCUACAUAGCAUUUAGGCAAAAACUUUGAUAGUGGUGAACUAGUGCCCAACAGGCCAUUAACUAUGUGAUAAUGGAGUAUCAACUUCUUCAUUUGUAAAAUGAGGGGAAUGAAAAAGAUAUGUUCUCCACCUUCUAGCUCUCAACUUCUAUAAUUCUCUUAGAAAACAGGUGUCUAAAAGUAACUAUUGUUUUAGGAUAAACUGGGAAGAGUUUUUUUUCAUCUCAGCCACCACUUAGGCCCAAUUCACAGUCCAGGGAUAGAACCCGCAUUCUCAUGGAUGCUAGUCAGGUUCAUUAACUGCUGAGCCAUGACAGGAACUCCAGGAUUCAAACAAUCUUAUCUAAUAAAUAUUAGAUAAGUAGUAUUUUUAAAAUAGUGCACAUUACACAAAAUAGGUAUACUAAAUAUAUUUAAGCAUUAAAAUAAAAGCAUCUAGGAGUUCCCAUCAUGGCACAGCAGAAACGAAUCUGACUAGGAACCAUCAGGUUUCGGGUUUGAUCCCUGGCCUUGCUCAGUAGGUUAAAGACCCAGCGUUGUGGUGAACUGUGGCGUAGGUCACAGACAUGGCUUGGAUCUGGCGUUGCUGUGGCUAUGGUGUAGGCCAGCAGCAAUAGCUCCGAUUAGACCCCUGGCCUGGGAACCUCCAUAUGCUGUGGGUGAGGCCCUAAAAAGACAAAAGAUAAAAAUAAAGUUUUAAUUUAAAAAAUAAAUAAAAGCAUCCAAUGUACUGCCUUAAAGCAAAUGGUUCAAGUUAAAAGUCAACAAUCCAAGACUCACUGCUGGAAGGGAUGUUAAAGACCACAGCUCACAGUAACAAAUCUGUCAAUUACUUUUCACUGAUGUUUACAUGUGAACUGGUAUAACCUCAUAAGAUAUACUAUUUUAGCUAGAGAUUUUUGAUGACAAUAACAUACAAAGCUAAAGCUGUAUCAAAAAUUUCUUAAUAUACAUGUUUUUUAAGUUUAUAUGAUUUUUAUUUUUUCCAUUAUAGUGGAUUUACAGUGUUCUAUCAAUUUCUACUGUACAGCAAACUGACCCAGUCAUACCAUAAAAAGUUUUUUAAUAUGCAUUAAUUGAUAACUAUACAAAAACUGUUAGCAGAUCUCAAAAGAGCAUAGAAUUUCAUUAGUAGAUGAAACAUGUAAUCUGAUAUUGUCAAAUAAUUUCAUAAAGCAUAUUAGUAAGAAAUAGGAUUAGCAUCUACAAUUAAAGGAUAAAAUGACAGUUUUAUUUCAGCUACAUUAGUUCCACAGUCUCUUAGAGUCUAUUCAAAGAAUUCUAAGUUAAAAAGAAAAAUUCUAUGAACUCAUUGAGGUUUACCUCUUGUCUUCCUCAGAGCAAAUGAUUAGCAAACUGUUCUGUGAACUUUCACAAAGAACCCUUUUCUCUCAUUUCUAUCCAUCUGAAAGAUGGAUUCUUCCUCCAUUCUAAAUAACUCAUCAUCUCAUUUCAAAUUUCUGACAAUAGUGAGUUCUUAGCAUGAACAAGCCCUUUUUUAAAUCUCUCCCUCUUUCUAUUAAUUUAUUAAGUAAUUCAUUUCAAAUAUCUAAUAAUAAUGAAUUUUUAGCAUGAAUAAACUCUUUUUAAUCUCACUCUCUCAAUGCUACUGCAUGGUCAAUAAAAUGUUUUGGUUUAUAUUUUAUUACCAAGAAACUCAAACCUACCAUGACAAAUAAAAACAUUUAAUAUGUAUGGUGUGAUUAUGAGAUUUUUCUUUUACAGGCUCAGAACCAAUUAGUAGCAAUAUUCAUGGAAUAUAGUCAGGUAACAAUAUUCAAAUCCCCUAAUAAUAAGCAAUCAGAGCAUUUAGAAAAAUUUAAUCCUUUUCCUAAUGAGGCAACUUUGGCAUCAGUUCAAACCUAAGCUCAGUUGGCACUGUAAUUUUGAAAAGGAUGAACUUCCUGCCACAGACUCAAGUAGUUUUCUCUUAAUAAUACUAUCAUCUUCUAGUUUGUUUAGCUGUAAAAUUUACAGAACACUUUCCUAUCUAAUAUGUAUAUAAUAUGUAUCUCAAAUCCUCCUCAUGAUAUCAUAGUGAGAAGUAAGGCAUUUUUCUAAAGGCCUAUUUUGUUCCAGGCACUGAGCUAACACCUGGACAGUUUAAAAAAAGGGGGGGAGGGAUAAAGAAUGAAUUCAACCUCAGAAGAACCCCCAAAGAAGGCUUUGGUCAGGAGAUCACAUGGAGUAGGGUUUUGAAGGAUGAGCAGGAGUUCCCUGACAUAAAUAUGGACUGGGGGGAAGGAGAAGACUCUCAAGCAGAGGGAACAACAUGUACAAAAUGGCUAGUAAUGAGGCAUUAUUCCCAUUUUAAAGAUGAGGAAGAAAAAUGAAAGGUAUGAGUGAGUUGCCUAAAGUCACAUGAAUAAUAAUUAACAAUGUGCAAAAGAGAAUUCAAGUCUUCUGAUUUUAAUCAGCUUUGUACACCAGGAAAUGCUAGCACAUGCUGGACAGAACCUAGAUAAACAUUAGUUUUAUCUCCUACUUUACUCCCUCUUAAGAUAUGGUCCAUGCCUGAUUCAGUUGCUGAGCUGGGGGACUGGAGAAGGGGAUUUAUUCAAUUCUCAAAUCAAUCUUGUAGGAUAGAAAUAUUUUUACUACCCCCACUUACACAUGAGAAUACAGAGACACACACAAGUUAGCAAAAGUUAAAAAUUAAGUGAAAAAUCAAACCCAGGUGACUAACCUGAUCAAGUCUCUCAAACACUUAACCAUACCCCUUAGAUCCUAUUUUGUCAAACAGCCCUAGAUCAUUCUUCAUCUGAAGAGAUCAGGAGACCAAGUAAGUCCUGGGACACAUCAUGGUCCCACGCAUCUCAUACUGUACCACACAUCUCAAUAUUCACACAAAUCCUCACUGGGCUCCCUUAUCAAUCUGCUCUCCCUUGAGCAGAUAAACCUGUGCAUAAGGUGGUGUGGGCUCUUUAAGCAUCAUUUUUACAACCUGAUUUAACUGGAGAAGUCAAACUUAACAAAAAGCAGUAACCAAAAAAGAGGACAUCAUAAAAUAGUAGCAUGAACCCUGAAAUUAUGAAGGAGAAAGCUCCAAUCCCCAUCUUUCACAUGGGUGUUUUAGGGGGAGGGAGGCCAAUGCCAAAGUGCUUCAGGAGGACCAGCAUACUCACCACUCAGGCACUGUUCAGAACAAAGGAUGGAGUCUGGAAUGCAACCUUACUUUCCUAUAUCAAAGGUUCAUAUGACAAUUCUAGAACAUCAACAACCCGAGCUGCCCUUGAAUAUUAUUAUCUGGAGCUACCAUGGUUUCCUACCAUACUAAUAUGACUUCAAGGAAUUGGGGAUCAGCAUAUAAACUCAAAUAUUAUAGCAACACCGGAUUUGCUAAUGUCAGCUGAUUAUUUAAAAGUGACCACAAAAUGGUUUUCAAUGUCAUUUCACCUUGUGAAAUAUAUGGGAAAAUUAAUAAAGAUAUUAAAACAAAAUGCCUACAGAAGGUUGUGGAUGACUAUUCUAGAACUUUAGAGAUAUAAAUCAAUCCUUCCUUACUUUCUGCUGAUAUGAUUUGGAGUUGGAGGGUUCUACCCAAGUCCAGGAAAAGGAUGUUUCCUUUCAGCUUAACUUUCAACCCUAUGGACCUCUAAUUCUCCAAGUCAGAGGGUCUCAAUCAAGUUUGGAAUCUGCCAGCACAUCUCCGGGGUAGUGGGCACCUCAGACCUUCCUCUGAGGUCUCCCAGCUUGGUGAAAAGGAAAACUGACAUGGUUACCCCUGUCCCCAAGGUUCUUAAUAGCUGCGUGGUCAGAACCGCUAUCAUCCCAUUUCUGUGACUUUAGCACCUGCUAAUAAUGA
RNAcentral lists this long non-coding RNA (6763 nucleotides) under Sus scrofa (pig). RNAcentral's name for it is "lncRNA (ENSSSCG00015063173.1)". The record is from RNAcentral. Lineage: Eukaryota; Metazoa; Chordata; Mammalia; Artiodactyla; Suidae.